Molecule: ribosomal RNA, 168 nt
Filed under: Glomus sp.
Lineage: Eukaryota; Fungi; Glomeromycota; Glomeromycetes; Glomerales; Glomeraceae
Description: partial large subunit ribosomal RNA
Source: RNAcentral
AGAUGUGAUGAUUGGGAUUGAGGAUUGCAACGAACCCUUCGGGGCUACCUGUCUGAUCUCUGAGAGUUGCUCUGGUGCUGAAAGCUUGCUUAUGGUAUCAAAGUUGACGUUCAAUAGGUUAGAACGGGAUAAGUUCGUUAAGGAUGUUGACGUAAUGGCUUUAAACGA